RNAcentral lists this ribosomal RNA (301 nucleotides) under uncultured bacterium. RNAcentral describes it as "partial 16S ribosomal RNA". It matches the Rfam family "Bacterial small subunit ribosomal RNA", at positions 509 to 807 of the family's 1533-position model. The record is from RNAcentral.
CAGCCGCCACGGGAAUACGAAGGGUGCAAGCGUUACUCGGAAUUACUGGGCGUAAAGCGUGCGUAGGUGGUGGUUUAAGUCCGUUGUGAAAGCCCUGGGCUCAACCUGGGAAUUGCAGUGGAUACUGGGUCACUAGAGUGUGGUAAAGGAUAGUGGAAUUUCCGGUGUAGCAGUGAAAUGCGUAGAGAUCGGAAGGAACAUCUGUGGCGAAGGCGACUAUCUGGGCCAACACUGACACUGAGGCACGAAAGCGUGGGGAGCAAACAGGAUUAGAUACCCCUGUAGUCCCUGUCUCUUAUAC